This 771-nucleotide long non-coding RNA is filed under the name Elaeis guineensis (African oil palm). Its description in RNAcentral is "long non-coding RNA (EGUI_LNC016246)". The record is from RNAcentral. Lineage: Eukaryota; Viridiplantae; Streptophyta; Magnoliopsida; Arecales; Arecaceae.
CCCUAGACAAGUUGUCUUAUUUGAAUAGUCUCUUGCAUAAAUCAUUUUGGUCAUUGCACUGCCUCUCUAGGACUGUCACUGUCCUACAUUAACAAGUCUACAGUACCUCAAAAACAAUUGCUCCUUGAUCCUCCACAAAUGUCACUCAUAAUCUUCAGAAAAUGUACCCUUUAUUUUAUCCAUCUAGUUCAGCCAGAGAUCGACCUGAACAUUCUCAUGUCUAUUACAUUUCUCUCAUGCUUAUUAGCUCUCUACACUGCCUAAUAUGAUCCACAUUGGUAAAGAUCAUAAUAUAGUUAUGUACAACAUUCCAUAAUAGGCUAUACAAUGAUUAAAGCUUUUUCCAGGGAAUAUAAAUUAUAAAACACUUCUUUUUAUAAUUUAAAAGGGAUAACAUAGCCAUUAUAGGGUUGUUGGAACCUAUUGUUUCAAAAUACCAUGCAAUAACAGCCUGACAUGAACCAGACAAUAACAAUUGCUCCUUGAUCCUCCACAAAUGUCACUCAUAAUCUUCAGAAAAUGUACCCUUUAUUUUAUCCAUCUAGUUCAGCCAGAGAUCGACCUGAACAUUCUCAUGUCUAUUACAUUUCUCUCAUGCUUAUUAGCUCUCUACACUGCCUAAUAUGAUCCACAUUGGUAAAGAUCAUAAUAUAGUUAUGUACAACAUUCCAUAAUAGGCUACACAAUGGUCACAUGAUGAUUAAAGCUUUUUCCAGGGAAUAUAAAUUAUAAAACACUUCUUUUUAUAAUUUAAAAGGGAUAACAUAGCCA